Molecule: long non-coding RNA, 813 nt
Organism: Gallus gallus (chicken)
Lineage: Eukaryota; Metazoa; Chordata; Aves; Galliformes; Phasianidae
Source: Ensembl
AAAAACCUGUUGGUGAGUGGUGAUUUAGGCUUUGAUUUGUAUCACCUGUGCUACACAGGUGAUGCAUCCAAACAGGGGGAACACCUGUGAGUUGCUUGCAUGCCAUGUGGAGGCUUUAUUCCCUUAGAUGAGGACGUGUAUCAAGAAGCUGACCUCUGAUGAGCGGCUACCAGUGGUUUCCUCUGCUACGUAGUGGAGAUUUGCAACCGGCUGUUGAAGGGAAGGAAGAGGUGAGGUGCAUGAAUUAAUUAUUUAAGAUGUUUUCAUUGGCUGCUAAACAACACUGUUUUGAUUUAUGAGAGGUCAUAACAAAUUGUUGCAAAGAAGUUGCAAGAUAUUUCUGCAGCUAAUCAAGUCCAAAGUACUUUUCCUUUAUUAACGUAUGCGUGGGGAAGGUGUGCCACAAUGUUUUAUUUUUAAAAAGUAUAUAGUAGUGUGCUAGUAGUGUGCAUUGCGAAAAUCUUCCAAAGUCUCACUUAGCAUACAUAACUUCUAUGGCCUAAAAAGGCAUAUGAUGUUAUGUAGACUGAUGCAUAAGUUCACAAAGGGAUAAGUGAAACAACAGCUUGAAAUCCUCUUGAAUAGGUAUGUGUAGAGCCAGAUUCAGCUGACUCCAAUUUGCUAAGUUUCACCAUUGGUAUUGUUUAGAAAUAUACCUACCAUUUGUCCUUGGUCUAUGCCAGUGAGGAUUAAUUUAUGGUCCUCUACUUUCAUUCAAGUAUUUCUCAAGAAUAGGGACUGUGUGUGUUCUAGCCUGUAUGAAGGAAAAUGUAUUUUCUGGAAAAUUCUCAUGGGUAUUAAAAUUUUCUUUUC